UGGGGUGUGGCUUACUGGUAGAGCACUUACCUUGCAUAUGUGAGACUGGGUUCGAUCCUCAGCACCACAU
RNAcentral lists this transfer RNA (70 nucleotides) under Marmota monax (woodchuck). It matches the Rfam family "tRNA". From Rfam's summary of the family: Transfer RNA (tRNA) molecules are approximately 80 nucleotides in length. Their secondary structure includes four short double-helical elements and three loops (D, anti-codon, and T loops). The record is from Rfam by way of RNAcentral. Lineage: Eukaryota; Metazoa; Chordata; Mammalia; Rodentia; Sciuridae.